Molecule: ribosomal RNA, 426 nt
Filed under: uncultured bacterium
Lineage: Bacteria
Description: bacterial SSU rRNA
Rfam family: Bacterial small subunit ribosomal RNA
Source: RNAcentral
GUGAGGAAUUUUCCGCAAUGGGCGAAAGCCUGACGGAGCAAUGCCGCGUGAAGGAUGAAGGCCUAUGGGUUGUAAACUUCUUUUCUCAGAAAAGAAUUAUGACGGUAUCUGAGGAAUAAGCAUCGGCUAACUCUGUGCCAGCAGCCGCGGCAAGACAGAGGAUGCAAGCGUUAUCCGGAAUGAUUGGGCGUAAAGCGUCUGUAGGUUGUUUAAAAAGUAUUCUGUCAAAGAUUAGGGCUUAACCCUAGAUAGGCAGAAUAAACUUUUAAGCUAGAGUUUGGCAGAGGCAGAGGGAAUUCCCGGUGGAGCGGUGAAAUGCGUAGAUAUCGGGAGGAACACCAAAGGCGAAGGCACUCUGCUGGGCCAAUACUAACACUGAGAGACGAAAGCGAGGGGAGCAAAUGGGAUUAGAUACCCUUGUAGUCC